UGCAUAGUGAGUUCUAGGCCAGUUGGGGUUACGGGAAGACCCUGUCUCAAGAAAAAAUCUUUGUUCCUAUGUGUUUCUCAUCUGUCUCAUCUUUUUUCAUUUCAGUCUAUGCUCCUGUCCCUUUUUAAAAUGCCUUUAUUUUAUGUAUGUGUGUAUAUGUCUACCUUGGGUUUUUUGUUGUCGUUGUAUCGUGUGUGUGGUUUUUGCUGAGCUGCUGUUAGGUGAUGGGACAGGAACUAGUGACUAGUCUCUGAUUGCAACACAUGUUUCUCCUCGGUGCCUUCAGCUCCAGUCUGCCAGUCUCCUGUUUGUAGAUAAUCCUGUGGGCACUGGCUUCAGUUACGUGAACAAGAGUGAUGCCUACGCCAAGGACCUGUCCACGGUGGCUUCAGACAUGAUGGUUCUCCUCAAGUCUUUCUUUGAUUGCCAUAAAGAAUUCCAGACGGUUCCCUUCUACAUUUUCUCAGAAUCUUACGGUG
Long non-coding RNA from Nannospalax galili (Upper Galilee mountains blind mole rat), 479 nucleotides. RefSeq lists it as uncharacterized. Lineage: Eukaryota; Metazoa; Chordata; Mammalia; Rodentia; Spalacidae. The transcript is spliced from 2 exons. The record is from RefSeq and is a predicted model, not a curated record.